Long non-coding RNA from Scylla paramamosain (green mud crab), 594 nucleotides. RefSeq lists it as uncharacterized. Lineage: Eukaryota; Metazoa; Arthropoda; Malacostraca; Decapoda; Portunidae. The record is from RefSeq and is a predicted model, not a curated record. The transcript is spliced from 5 exons.
UCUUGGAAAAAUAGUCAUGAGAGAGCGAAGUGUUUCUGAAUACGGCCAUGAAUAAGAACCAAGGGUCGAGACUUUAGACCCGCCGUUCAUUGGAAGCAGCAGCUUCACCCAGUAUAAGGAAGGACACGCUGAGGUGGGGGUGAUGCUUGGCUGUGUCAUGGUGAAGGUGGUGAUGCGCGAUUUUUUCAAAUGCGUCUAUACUGCCGCCGCCUUCUCGUGACCUGUAAUCGUGGCCGCCUUUGUGGUUAAAUCAUAGUUAAGAAUCACCACAAAGGAAGUAAACGUUUAGUGACUCGUGGUCGGAGCCGAGUGGGUGGCACGCCGCUCCGUGAAGUACUGCCGUGGUCUUGUGGAUGGAAUACUUGAAUUAUUGAAAUUAUCGGCUUGCAGGCAAGGAGAUUAUGGCUGUAACACUUGCUACUUCACUACUGAACACCAAGAAGAAAAUGGUCUUGCACCAGAUGCAAACCUGUUUAUCAGAAGAAUUCACAAGUCAAGAGUGUCUGCCACCACUCUGCACUUCCUGCCGCCUGCCUUGCCUGCCUGCAAACACCUCCGCUUCACAGAGGAUAAAGCACCACAAGGCAAGCUUUG